GGAGCUGCGGGAUCCCGGGAAUUGGGACGGGUGUGGCAGGGGCAGGGCACCGCGGGGUGCCGCAGGGUCCCAGAAGAGCCGCGGGUGUUGUGGGGACGGAGCGCUGUGGCGGGAGGCGCGGGCUCAGCGCUGUGGGGCGCCGGCAGCGCGGCGGUGUUGCGCUGUGCCCACAGAGCUGUGGCGCCCCGAGUGUCCCUGCAGCAGCCGGCUCCGCGCCGGGCACGGCCUCCCCAGGGCCCUCCCGCCGGGGGUGCCCGUCUGAGGGGCGAGCAGUGGGCUGGGUGCAGGGCUGGUUGGGUCCCUGGUGGGGGACAGAAGCACCAGAGGCUGCCCGUGCGCUGGGGGAGGCCCAGGGGAUGCCAUGGUGCUCCGGAAAGCCGUGAGCAGUACCGAGGAGGAACCACUAGUUCCACUAAUGGAUGGUGCUGGCUCAAGAACAAAUGGUUGUAAGGUGGCUAUAAAUAAAUCUCAGCUGGAGAAGGGAAGAAAGCGUACUGAUCGUACUGAUCCCAAGAGGAGGAGGAUCCCUGCCAGCCAGGAGCAGAAGGUGUAGCACUCCGAGUGGUCCUGGUUUGGUGCAGCUGUCAUGCUGGUACAUUAUUGUAUACCUUCAUUAAACGUGGUGUCUUCAACAGCAGGGAGCUACUCCUGAUCACCCAGGAGGUUCUUUCUAACCCUUCCUACACUUUCUGGGGGAUAUUUUUAUCUCCAGCCUUUCUAGCUGUUACAGACUCCACAUGCAUUUUCUCCCACGUUGAUCACAAAAGAAAAAGCAGAGAGGCCCUACAUCUCGUGUGCAGCUUUUCAAAACCACCGCUUUCCUUCUGCAAGAUAAGUUUUUACAUCCCUGUGGUGAAUUGGAUUGGGAAGAGUUUCAGCUUUAACAGGAUUCCUUUACAUCUGGAGUGCCCAAGCUGGUUCUCCUCCUGGAAGCACAAAUGGAUGUGCUGCUUCUGCAGCCUUGUGGUGGUGGCUCUUGCCAUAUAUGACUAAAAUAGUAGUAAAUUAUGAAUUUGGUUCCAUGUUAUGUAGCUACCCUGGAUGCAUUAUUUAGGCUCAGCAUGUCCAUGUAAAAGUGCUUCAGUGAUCUCUUUGUUGAGAUUGAUGUGGGCAUCUGCCCUCUCCUUGCACCCUCAUUUUUAUGACACAGUGGAAUCACAUAAGGAAAGAUUAAAUAUUUAAGUCUGGAAUGCAGUAUGAGUUCUUCUGCCUCCUCAGAAGCACUGGGGCUUUGUGGAUCUGACCUGACUUUUUCUACCUACUGUAUGACUGACCAAUAAAAAGAGAAUCAUAGAUACCUGUGACCACCAGGAAACAGAUCUCAGAGGACACUGUCUGAUUUCAGAAAGCCCAGCAGGCUGCCCCUGAUAUCUUUGGGAAAGCAGUGGAUGGUAGGGCAGAGGUUUUUAUACAAUGUGUGUGCUAAUGUGUCAUGAGCUGCACCAUUUCCUCUCCAUUGCCUGUGUAAGGUCUUUCAGCUGAAGUGUAAAAACCUUGAAAUGAUGCAUUCUUGCUGUCUGCACUAAUCUACAGACAGAUGGCCAUUCAUCACUGAGGCAAAGUAGUAUAUAAAAAAGCCUUCUGAAUUUUUAAAGCGUGAGUCUCUGAAAACCAUGAUGCCAGCUAAUUCCUGCCCCUCUGGGCCAGGCCGGCUGUGAGCCCCAUCCCCGCACAGUGCAGACCUUGUGCUGGUGCUCUCACAGCUUCUCCCAUCCUUCCCGUCCCACCCCUUUGGUCACAUCCCUGCUUCUCCUCCUUCAUCCUCAUCCAGUGCCAGUCCUGCAAGGGGUUGGCAGCCAGGGGACACAGGCAGGGUCAGAGGCUUCCCCUGGCACAGCACCCAGCUCUACAACACAGGGACAAGCACCCAACCCAGCGGGAUGCCGUCCCCAGGCAGGCCUUUGAGUUUCUGUGGGAGGGCUAAGAAAAGAUUUAUCAGGGUAGAAAGGAAACAGUGCAAAAUGCCUAUUCAAAGCACUGAAUAUAUAUAUAGCAAUUUGGCAACCUCCUUUCCAAAAACAUUUGCAAGUGAUAUUCUCGGUGACAUUUUGGAAACAGGGCUGUUCGUAUCUGUUUAUUUGAAAAGGAAAUGUUGCAUAAGCUUGCCGAAAUGCCUGCACGUGCACAGAGGUGUUCUUUUAUCUACUACCAUGAGGGCAUUUCCUACACUCUUCAUUGAGUGCCGACUCUUUCACCUACUCACAGAGGCAAAUAGAUCAAAAUCUUGCUGUUUUGUGACCAAGAUGGGGAAGCUUUCUUCUCUUCAAAGCACAACUAUGUUUGCAUAUGCAAACAUACAGCCAACAUGUUUUUGUUAGCUUCAGUUCUUCUGUGGAUCCAAUGUUUCCAUACCUUUCCUUAAUCUCUUCUGACAGAAAAAAGUGGACAGGAGGUUUGGUGCAGGAGGUGUGAACUGGCAGGGGUUACUGGGAGGGAGCAGGGUUUUACAAGCCUCCCUUCCCCUUGCUCGAGCAGAAGUGACCAGGAGGAAGCAUGCAGAGUACAGGAGAAAUCUACAGGCAGCCUGGAGCACCUUGCCUGGAGUGACACGAGCAGCAAGUGGGUCUCGUGCCUCACAGUGAUUAAUCUCGAAGGGUAAAAAUAAAUGAAUCUGCUAACAACUGCCAAAAAUGGGAAACAGGAAAAAUAGGCUUUCCCAAAAGACUGUUCAGAGUUUAACCAACAGUUUAUUUCUGGCAGAUCAGGACUUUGUUGGUUUUCAUUUGGAUUUUGAGAGAACUUUGAAAACUGGGGGCGUGAUCAAGGCUGGGGACAGGAUGCAAUUGCAGCCUGUGCAAAAUUCCCAGAACUGCCUCUGCCUGAUGGUUAACCUGCCUCUGUGCAGAGAUUCCCAGUGGGAAAAUCACCCAGCUGUCCCUCAGUGUUUGUCCAAGGAUGAAGAAAAUCCCACAUGGGCUGGGGUGAGGCCAGGCAUGAGGACAGGGCCGUUGCUGCCUGAGCCACCCCAGUCCCUGCCACCCCACAGCACAAAGCAGGCACACUGUGACAUUGCCCAGGCUGUGGGGCACCUACUGGGUGCUGCUUCUCGUGCUAUCAGGGUUUUAACAUCAGCCUGGGUAUUUCUGGCCUGUGUUGGUCUGAACAAUGAAAAGACAAGGUGUAUAAUUGCAUCAAAUCAGCCUUAAACUGCACCAUUAUCACCAUCAGCUAAAAUCCUGCUUGAGCCCUACCCCCCUCAAAAAAGACAUAGAAGGCUCAGAAAAUAACAUGCAUGUUCAUAAAAAGAUUUUCUUUCUGUUGCCUUGACCACAGUGUGGUGUGAAGAAAAAUACCAGAGAGAUACACGGGGAGAAUUGGGACAGAGAAAUAUAUGGGUGUUGUAGGAAAAUCACGUUUGCACACAAGACGGGAGAAUUAUUCAUGGGCAAACUCAUCCAGGUGGAAAUAUGACCCCUGUAAAUCUGCCACAUCAGAGAAACCCACAGUGAACUGUUAGCAAAUGCAAGAUACACAGGCUGCUGCUACCUCUGGGUUUUAUGAGCUUUCCAAGCACAUUAGCACUAGCAGACAUUCCCUUCCAAGAAAAUUAUGAUAUCUGAGGAACAGUGUGAGGCUAUAAAUGAAUGAACAGUAUUUAACCUGCACUAAAAACCCAUGGUUCUAUCAAAUCUGCCCCAAAAGGGCACAGUUGCCUGAACACUAAUUUUAUGAAGCACACCAGUGCCCCAUGCAAUUAAAGACACAAAGUUGAUCUGAAUUGGAAACUCCAGGGGCAGUUGUAUUUCAAUGAGAUCUGAUGCAAUGACUUUCUGUUUUAAUAUCCCAGUACCUAGAAUCUUGUGCUGCGCGUGGAUUGUGAACAGCUAAAAAUAGGACCAUAUCCUGGACAGAUUGGAGCUACUCCGAUGGAGAAAAUCUGAGCUGAAAUGAAAACUUGGAGAAGAACACAGGAUGAAUGGAAUGGAUGCUGGAACUCAGCACAAGAGCUUUUAGAGGCAGGUAUUUGCCCUACAGUGCGAAUCCUUUGUUGUUCAUCUUCAUGGUGUUUACUACUGCUCCUUUCCCAAAAAGUUGUGGUAAGCUGAGAGCAUCCUCUGUGCUCUGGUCUCAAAGGGUUUGGGUAGAAGGUGGCCCAGGCACCAAGUCCUGCCCUUCUGUUUUGAUGGCAAACUGCUAAUAAAACUGCUAAAUGCUAUGUGAGUAGCUGCUAAGUGGAAUUCAUGAACCUCCUGGGAUUCAGGCCACAGCAGUUAUUAAUGUUUUGUGCAGAUAGUAUCACGUUAACAGGAAGCACCCCAUUCUGUCCCUUCCCAAGCAGUAAAGUUUACGGGGCCUUUUGUGCCAGAUGCUCUGCCGAGAAGCUCCUUAAGGGCUGGGAAACACCUCACUUGGGCUGUUCUGCCAAAGCUUGUCAAAUAAACAGAGACCUACCCUCUCUCUCUACCCCAGAAGUGCAGGUGAUCCUGCGUGAAUGUGGAGUCCAAGUUUGCAGCACAUGGCGUGUUUCCAGCAGCAGGGAUGAGUGUGGAGCUGAAUGGGGAGCCCAGCUGACAACUCAGCUGUAGGAACAGGCACAGCACAGUACAGGGAGAAUCUGGGUGUUUCACAUGGGAUCACCACUGUGGCCAUCUAGGGCCAUCCUCCCAUAGCUACACCUAGUGCCCAGAUACCGGGAAAGAGUUUUAUGUCCCAACCUUAUGGAUGAACCAGCCAAUGAUUCUACCAAUUCUUAAUAUUCCCUUCAGCCUUAUGCUCUGUGAAAUUCAGUCCAGCACAUCAAAGGGAAGUUUGCCUUUGAAGGGCUGCAUGCUUCCUGCAUGCAAACAUUGCUCUGAUUUAAUUAAGUUUGAUUUUUUUAAUCAGUGUAGUUAAACCAGUACUGUGCUUGUGAGCAAAUAUGGCUGGCAUAAGUAUCUCAAUGUGUGUGUGGCUCAAUAUCAACACCUCCCAGAAGCAAGUGACAUUUGAAUUUUCCUACUAUGCACAUUUUCCCUGUUUUUCCUCUAUCUUCCUUCUCAUUUUUUAUGCCUUAUUUCUUUCAUUCACACUAAUACGCUCAUAAGAUUGUUUCUUUUUGGUUUCUCUGCACUGAAGAUUUUCUUACUGUCCUUGUCCAGUGUUCAGUCUUUCAAUUGCAAAUUGGGAGGCCAAGUUGAAAGUCAGUAACGGGAUCCACAAGGACCUCAGGAGGAGCUAAGUAUCAGACAUGAAAGGAUAGCAUUUCAUUUAAGAUAAGGCUUAAUCUCUUCCCUUUGUGUGCAACAUUUCCAAACUUAAUCUGAGCACUUGUGCCUGGAGCCAUUUAAAUUUGCUCUCGGGUAGGUGGGUAGUGGUGGAACACACAGAACCAGAACCCCAGUUUAAUCCUGAGUACAAAAGAUAGGUGCCAUUAAGACAAAGGAGGCUGACCUUAGGAAACAUCUAUUAAGUGUGCAGCUAUGGGCAGAACACACAUCUCUUCAGUAUAAGCUUGAGCCUUAUCGAAUCUCAGUGUACAUAUUACACUACCUGAGUCCUGAAAACCCAUGGUCCUCAGCACCCACAGCGAUACUCAGCAUCAGGGUUUGUUUCUAUUCAUAUUCAACAUAUUCUUGAGAAAAGACAUUCUAUCACCUAAACUUUGCUGGGGGAGGUGUUUUCAGAUGCUUGUCCCAAAAUUACAGUUGAGAAACAUGGUUAUCAGCAUACAGGUCAUAAAUAACCUGCACUGUUUUUUGUGUUACAGCCAGGUGUUGCAAACAGACUCCCUGGAGCUCCACAAAGCACUGGCCACAUAGACAGCCAAAUCCCCACUUCAGUGGUUUGAGGCACAGAGUGAUAAAUUAGGACAGAUGAGUCCAGCACAUGGGUGGUACAAGCAGGAGAGCAGCUCGACUGGGCAAGAGCUGCUACAGUCCCCAGGGGACCUCAGGGAGAAGAUGUGAAAGCAAAGGGGGAAAACUCAGUCCUGUUGUGUGUGCAGGCAGGAGCCUGGGUUCCCACAGAAGCAGACUGACUCCUCUGCUCAUCAACUUCUGCUUUUGGGUUCAGUCUGAAUCUGAUGUAAACUGGUACCCAGUUCCUGAGGACAGAAAGGAGAAUGCUAGAGGACACCUCAACUCUGCAUUUGCAUCCUUUGCCAUCCUCCCAGGCUAGACCAUCCUCCCCCUUCACUGUUUUCCAAGUAUCUUCCACAAAAAAACUGGCACAAAAAAAAACCCCAGAGGUGUAUGAUAAUAAAGAUAACUGCUUAAAAAUUUCCUCAUUAAUGACUUUGCCUUUUCUCUGCCCUUAAGCCAUUUUUUAAAUCCUUUUCAACAUUUUCUUGCCUAUUCUAUGCCAUGCUUUCUGACCUUGCAAAUCAAUCUGUUGUGCAAUGCAAUAUUAAAUGCACCCCUGACAGCUGGAUGAACUGUACUGUUUCCCCCUUGUCCACUAAUCCAGUAAGCAAAUUCAUCAGGUCUGACCCACAUCCCUCCUUGGGGAGCAACAGUGAGCCUCUCACAAGGCUGGAAAACAGAACCAUGCAAAGCCUCAAUGCUUUACUAAGGACAGUAACAUUCUUCAGUCAUUGUGGCAUUCACAUUCUCUGAAAAAAUCUCUUCGCCCAGGAUUUUUCUCCUGGGAAGCUGACAGGCCUCAGAGAAAAGGAAAACAAUUCUUAUCUCAUUUGCUUCUCCUGUGUUGUGCUCAUCUGGAAUGUGUUUGGAGAUUGUUUAUCCACAGGACAUGGUUUCAUUGGUCUCUGGUGUGAGUUGUUUUGACUCAUUGGCCAAUGAGUGCUAAGCUGUGUUGAGACUCUGAAAAGAGUCACCAGUUUUCAUUAUUAUCUUUUUAGCAUUGAGUAAGUAUCUUUUCUGUAUUCUUUAGUAUAAUAUAGUAUUCUUUAAUAUAAUAUAGUAUAAUAAAGUAAUAAAUUAGCCUUC
Long non-coding RNA from Passer domesticus (house sparrow), 6866 nucleotides. RefSeq lists it as uncharacterized. The transcript is spliced from 3 exons. Lineage: Eukaryota; Metazoa; Chordata; Aves; Passeriformes; Passeridae. The record is from RefSeq and is a predicted model, not a curated record.